Molecule: long non-coding RNA, 164 nt
Filed under: Mustela putorius furo (domestic ferret)
Lineage: Eukaryota; Metazoa; Chordata; Mammalia; Carnivora; Mustelidae
Description: lncRNA (ENSMPUG00000024019.1)
Source: RNAcentral
GCUCAUCCUGACCGCCUCCUGGUUUCUGUUCUGUAAGGAGAGCCACUUAGCAGUGCUAGCCACUGGUAAGCGCGCCAGUAUUGUACUUGUUAUGGUGAUCCGGGAUCUGUGGUUAUGGUUCUCUGGAAGCUCGGAUGAUGGUCAGUAAUUUUUUUAUUUUUUUG